This 538-nucleotide ribosomal RNA is filed under the name Phymatopoderus latipennis. Its description in RNAcentral is "partial 28S ribosomal RNA". The record is from RNAcentral. Lineage: Eukaryota; Metazoa; Arthropoda; Insecta; Coleoptera; Attelabidae.
GAGUUCAAAGAGGUCUGGAACCGUUUAGGGGUAACCUGAGAAACCCGAAAGGUCGAAUGGGGAAAUUCAUCGUGUAUCGGCUGGGGCAGAAUUAAAUAGAUGUGUCGUAAGAGACGCACAGUGUUCUUUAUUGAACACACAGCGCUCCGUCUAUCUAAUAAAAUACUGCUGUCGAACGCGUGCACUUUUCCCCUAGUAGGACAUCGUGAUCCGUUAGGCGUUGGUCUAAGACAUAUGCGGUGGAGUUCGUAAAUUCAAUGUUAUAUAAAAUGUUGAGACUUUUGCGUACCCGUAAUGUUCUGGCCAACAUGCUUGACGGUAUAUGAAAGGCGCGAGGCCGCUUCACAGCGUCUGGCCCGUAGCAAGCACACCCGUACGUUGGUGACCGGCCCUGGUGCCGUUCCUGACCUCGUGGUGACUGUUGGCUGCGGUGUUCUUAGGCAGACCUCGUUUCCAUAAAAACAUAAUAACAUAUGUUUUGGAGGAGCCGCCGAUCAACGAUGCUAUAGCUUUGGGUACUUUCAGGACCCGUCUUGAA